CAAGAGUUUCAUAAUAAUUGUUCAAGAAUUUCGUCAAAAAUCUUAAACUUGCAUAGAUGUAUUCAUUUAUUCUGCAAAUAGUUGUCAAUGGAACUUUGAAUACGAGAUCUAGCUUAUUUUGUUAACAGUAAUAUUAAGAUCAUAUUUUCUGUGCUCAUCCAAUAGCAUACCAAAUUCGGGAUUUUUUUUACAUUCUUUAUUGUUACUGUGGGGUCUUGAAGCAGAAGGAGAUUUUACUCGUUGGUGUCAAUUAUUUGGAGUUUUAUCUUAAAAUAUCAAUCUUAUUAAAAAGAGUAAUACAAACUCUUAUGUAUUGGUCUAUGUUAAUUUGUGAUCCAAAUUCAUUUCAGGAUGUCAAAAUAUGGUUAAAGGAUGUUUGGGGCAGAGAAUAGAAGCCCAAGCGCCCAAUCCUUGCGCCUAGGUGCCAUUCGAGUAAAGAAACAGAUCUUGGACAAAGUUUUAGCGUUAGAGGGAGCGUUGGACUGUUAAUCGCUUGCCACUCGAUUGGAUCUUAAGCAUCGGUCAUCGCUGAAUGAGCGCAAGCUGCUUGAGCGGUCGUGUUAUCCAAGAAAAUUUUGUUUUCAUUUUUCUGACUCGUUUUUUAUCCUCUUUCCAACUAAAAUAUGUCCUUUUGGGUCCUAUAUAUCUUCUAUGUGAUUUUGGCCUUGUAUAG
Molecule: long non-coding RNA, 673 nt
Filed under: Olea europaea subsp. europaea
Lineage: Eukaryota; Viridiplantae; Streptophyta; Magnoliopsida; Lamiales; Oleaceae
Source: RNAcentral